ACUCAAAGGAAUAGACGGGGGCCCGCACAAGCGGUGGAGCAUGUGGUUUAAUUCGACGCAACGCGAAGAACCUUACCCAGACUUGACAUCGAUGGAAUCCUGUAGAGAUACGGGAGUGCCCUUCGGGGCCCAGAAGACAGGUGCUGCAUGGCUGUCGUCAGCUCGUGUCGUGAGAUGUUGGGUUAAGUCCCGCAACGAGCGCAACCCUCGUCGUUAGUUGCCAACAGGUAAAGCUGGGCACUCUAGCGAGACUGCCGGUGUCAAACCGGAGGAAGGUGGGGAUGACGUCAAGUCCUCAUGGCCUUUAUGUCUGGGGCUACACACGUGCUACAAUGGCAUCUACAGAGCGACCCUAACCCGCGAGGGGGCGGAAAUCGCAAAAAAGAUGUCUCAGUUCGGAUCGGAGUCUGCAACUCGACUUCGUGAAGUCGGAAUCGCUAGUAAUCGAGGAUCAGCAUGCCUCGGUGAAUACGUUCCCGGGCCUUGUACACACCGCCCGU
Molecule: ribosomal RNA, 500 nt
Filed under: uncultured bacterium
Lineage: Bacteria
Description: partial 16S ribosomal RNA
Rfam family: Bacterial small subunit ribosomal RNA
Source: RNAcentral